RNAcentral lists this ribosomal RNA (497 nucleotides) under uncultured bacterium. RNAcentral describes it as "partial 16S ribosomal RNA". It matches the Rfam family "Bacterial small subunit ribosomal RNA", at positions 28 to 507 of the family's 1533-position model. The record is from RNAcentral.
GAUGAACGCUGGCGGCGUGCCUAAUACAUGCAAGUCGAGCGAACGGACGAGAAGCUUGCUUCUCUGAUGUUAGCGGCGGACGGGUGAGUAACACGUGGAUAACCUACCUAUAAGACUGGGAUAACUUCGGGAAACCGGAGCUAAUACCGGAUAAUAUUUUGAACCGCAUGGUUCAAAAGUGAAAGACGGUCUUGCUGUCACUUAUAGAUGGAUCCGCGCUGCAUUAGCUAGUUGGUAAGGUAACGGCUUACCAAGGCAACGAUGCAUAGCCGACCUGAGAGGGUGAUCGGCCACACUGGAACUGAGACACGGUCCAGACUCCUACGGGAGGCAGCAGUAGGGAAUCUUCCGCAAUGGGCGAAAGCCUGACGGAGCAACGCCGCGUGAGUGAUGAAGGUCUUCGGAUCGUAAAGCUCUGUUAUUAGGGAAGAACAGAUGUGUAAGUAACUGUGCACAUCUUGACGGUACCUAAUCAGAAAGCCCCGGCUAACUACGUG